CCUACGGGUGGCAGCAGUGAGGAAUAUUGGUCAAUGGGCGCAAGCCUGAACCAGCCAAGCCGCGUGAAGGAUGACUGCCCUCGGGGUUGUAAACUCCUUUUAUAAAGGAGUAAAGUGAGGCACGUGUGCCUUUAUGUAUCUACUUUAUCUAUAAGGAACGGCGAACGACGCUCCAUAAGCCGCGGUAAUGCGUAGGAUCCGAGCGUUAUCCGGUUUUAUUGGGUUUAAAGGGAAAGUAGAUGGGUGGUUAAGUCAGUUGUGAAAGUUAGCGGCUCAACCGUAAGAUUGCAAUUGAUACUGGCAGACUUGAGUACAGUUGAGGUAGGCGGAAUUCGUGGGGUAGCGGUGAAAUGCGUAGAUAUAACGCAGAACCCCGAUGGCGAAGGCAGCCUGCCGGGCCGUGACUGACGCUGAUGCACGAAAGCGUGGGGAUCAAACAGGAUUAGAUACCCGGGUAGUC
This 460-nucleotide ribosomal RNA is filed under the name uncultured bacterium. Its description in RNAcentral is "partial 16S ribosomal RNA". It matches the Rfam family "Bacterial small subunit ribosomal RNA", at positions 338 to 795 of the family's 1533-position model. The record is from RNAcentral.